CAGCCGCCACGGGAAUACGUAGGUGGCAAGCGUUGUCCGAAAUUAUUGGGCGUAAAGCGCGCGCAGGUGGUUUAAUAAGUCUGAUGUGAAAGCCCACGGCUCAACCGUGGAGGGUCAUUGGAAACUGUUAAACUUGAGUGCAGGAGAGAAAAGUGGAAUUCCUAGUGUAGCGGUGAAAUGCGUAGAGAUUAGGAGGAACACCAGUGGCGAAGGCGGCUUUUUGGCCUGUAACUGACACUGAGGCGCGAAAGCGUGGGGAGCAAACAGGAUUAGAUACCCCAGUAGUCCCUGUCUCUUAUAA
This 301-nucleotide ribosomal RNA is filed under the name uncultured bacterium. RNAcentral describes it as "partial 16S ribosomal RNA". It matches the Rfam family "Bacterial small subunit ribosomal RNA", at positions 509 to 809 of the family's 1533-position model. The record is from RNAcentral.